Molecule: ribosomal RNA, 2768 nt
Filed under: Escherichia coli
Lineage: Bacteria; Pseudomonadati; Pseudomonadota; Gammaproteobacteria; Enterobacterales; Enterobacteriaceae
Description: partial 23S ribosomal RNA
Rfam family: Bacterial large subunit ribosomal RNA
Source: RNAcentral
AUCAUUAACUGAAUCCAUAGGUUAAUGAGGCGAACCGGGGGAACUGAAACAUCUAAGUACCCCGAGGAAAAGAAAUCAACCGAGAUUCCCCCAGUAGCGGCGAGCGAACGGGGAGGAGCCCAGAGCCUGAAUCAGUGUGUGUGUUAGUGGAAGCGUCUGGAAAGGCGCGCGAUACAGGGUGACAGCCCCGUACACAAAAAUGCACAUACUGUGAGCUCGAUGAGUAGGGCGGGACACGUGGUAUCCUGUCUGAAUAUGGGGGGACCAUCCUCCAAGGCUAAAUACUCCUGACUGACCGAUAGUGAACCAGUACCGUGAGGGAAAGGCGAAAAGAACCCCGGCGAGGGGAGUGAAAAAGAACCUGAAACCGUGUACGUACAAGCAGUGGGAGCCUCUUAAUGGGGUGACUGCGUACCUUUUGUAUAAUGGGUCAGCGACUUAUAUUCUGUAGCAAGGUUAACCGAAUAGGGGAGCCGAAGGGAAACCGAGUCUUAACUGGGCGUUAAGUUGCAGGGUAUAGACCCGAAACCCGGUGAUCUAGCCAUGGGCAGGUUGAAGGUUGGGUAACACUAACUGGAGGACCGAACCGACUAAUGUUGAAAAAUUAGCGGAUGACUUGUGGCUGGGGGUGAAAGGCCAAUCAAACCGGGAGAUAGCUGGUUCUCCCCGAAAGCUAUUUAGGUAGCGCCUCGUGAAUUCAUCUCCGGGGGUAGAGCACUGUUUCGGCAAGGGGGUCAUCCCGACUUACCAACCCGAUGCAAACUGCGAAUACCGGAGAAUGUUAUCACGGGAGACACACGGCGGGUGCUAACGUCCGUCGUGAAGAGGGAAACAACCCAGACCGCCAGCUAAGGUCCCAAAGUCAUGGUUAAGUGGGAAACGAUGUGGGAAGGCCCAGACAGCCAGGAUGUUGGCUUAGAAGCAGCCAUCAUUUAAAGAAAGCGUAAUAGCUCACUGGUCGAGUCGGCCUGCGCGGAAGAUGUAACGGGGCUAAACCAUGCACCGAAGCUGCGGCAGCGACACUAUGUGUUGUUGGGUAGGGGAGCGUUCUGUAAGCCUGUGAAGGUGUACUGUGAGGUAUGCUGGAGGUAUCAGAAGUGCGAAUGCUGACAUAAGUAACGAUAAAGCGGGUGAAAAGCCCGCUCGCCGGAAGACCAAGGGUUCCUGUCCAACGUUAAUCGGGGCAGGGUGAGUCGACCCCUAAGGCGAGGCCGAAAGGCGUAGUCGAUGGGAAACAGGUUAAUAUUCCUGUACUUGGUGUUACUGCGAAGGGGGGACGGAGAAGGCUAUGUUGGCCGGGCGACGGUUGUCCCGGUUUAAGCGUGUAGGCUGGUUUUCCAGGCAAAUCCGGAAAAUCAAGGCUGAGGCGUGAUGACGAGGCACUACGGUGCUGAAGCGACAAAUGCCCUGCUUCCAGGAAAAGCCUCUAAGCAUCAGGUAACAUCAAAUCGUACCCCAAACCGACACAGGUGGUCAGGUAGAGAAUACCAAGGCGCUUGAGAGAACUCGGGUGAAGGAACUAGGCAAAAUGGUGCCGUAACUUCGGGAGAAGGCACGCUGAUAUGUAGGUGAAGCGACUUGCUCGUGGAGCUGAAAUCAGUCGAAGAUACCAGCUGGCUGCAACUGUUUAUUAAAAACACAGCACUGUGCAAACACGAAAGUGGACGUAUACGGUGUGACGCCUGCCCGGUGCCGGAAGGUUAAUUGAUGGGGUUAGCGGUAACGCGAAGCUCUUGAUCGAAGCCCCGGUAAACGGCGGCCGUAACUAUAACGGUCCUAAGGUAGCGAAAUUCCUUGUCGGGUAAGUUCCGACCUGCACGAAUGGCGUAAUGAUGGCCAGGCUGUCUCCACCCGAGACUCAGUGAAAUUGAACUCGCUGUGAAGAUGCAGUGUACCCGCGGCAAGACGGAAAGACCCCGUGAACCUUUACUAUAGCUUGACACUGAACAUUGAGCCUUGAUGUGUAGGAUAGGUGGGAGGCUUUGAAGUGUGGACGCCAGUCUGCAUGGAGCCGACCUUGAAAUACCACCCUUUAAUGUUUGAUGUUCUAACGUGGGCCCCUUACCGGGGUUGCGGACAGUGUCUGGUGGGUAGUUUGACUGGGGCGGUCUCCUCCUAAAGAGUAACGGAGGAGCACGAAGGUUGGCUAAUCCUGGUCGGACAUCAGGAGGUUAGUGCAAUGGCAUAAGCCAGCUUGACUGCGAGCGUGACGGCGCGAGCAGGUGCGAAAGCAGGUCAUAGUGAUCCGGUGGUUCUGAAUGGAAGGGCCAUCGCUCAACGGAUAAAAGGUACUCCGGGGAUAACAGGCUGAUACCGCCCAAGAGUUCAUAUCGACGGCGGUGUUUGGCACCUCGAUGUCGGCUCAUCACAUCCUGGGGCUGAAGUAGGUCCCAAGGGUAUGGCUGUUCGCCAUUUAAAGUGGUACGCGAGCUGGGUUUAGAACGUCGUGAGACAGUUCGGUCCCUAUCUGCCGUGGGCGCUGGAGAACUGAGGGGGGCUGCUCCUAGUACGAGAGGACCGGAGUGGACGCAUCACUGGUGUUCGGGUUGUCAUGCCAAUGGCACUGCCCGGUAGCUAAAUGCGGAAGAGAUAAGUGCUGAAAGCAUCUAAGCACGAAACUUGCCCCGAGAUGAGUUCUCCCUGACUCCUUGAGAGUCCUGAAGGAACGUUGAAGACGACGACGUUGAUAGGCCGGGUGUGUAAGCGCAGCGAUGCGUUGAGCUAACCGGUACUAAUGAACCGUGAGGCUUAACCUUACAACGCCGAAG